AACGGCGAGUGAAGCGGGAAGAGCUCAUUCUGUGAAUCUGUAUGCUCUUUUGGUAUACCGAGUUGUAGAAUAUAGAAGCACAUCAGUGCGAAUUCCGGUCUAAGUCUCUUGGAAAAGAGCAGCUAAGAGGGUGAGACUCCCGUUCUUGGCUGGAAUUCAAACUUUAGCAUGUGGUUUCGACGAGUCGAGUUGCUUGGGAUUGCAGCUCAAAGUUGGUGGUAAAUUCCAUCUAAAGCUAAAUAUCGGUGGGAGACCGAUAGCGUACAAGUACCGUGAGGGAAAGAUGCAAAGAACUUUGAAAAAAGAGUUAAAGAGUACCUGAAAUUGCUGAAAUGGAAGCGAAGGAAACCAGUGCCGUUCUGUAUCAUUCUUCCGUCCUUGCUUGCGAGGGUGGCGCUGUGAUGCAGGAUAGGCCAGCGUGGGUUUGGGCCGAAGGAAGCAGCUCUUCAGGAGGCAGCGCAAUUUCUGUGCGAUUACUGUUGAGCUUUGCUUCGGCUUGGACUGAGGCUAGUCACUUGUGCUCGUGACGCUGGCGAAAUGGUUUUCUUUACCCCGUCUUGAAACACGGACCAAGGAGUCUAACAUAUGUGCGAGUAUAUGAGUGACAAACUCACAUGCGAAAUGAAAGUAACAGUGGUUGGACCUUCUGGGCACAAUCCGCCGGCCACAAUCCUUCGGGAGAAAGGUCUGAGUGUGAGCAUACAUGUUGGGACCCGAAAGAUGGUGAACUAUGCCUGAAUAGGGUGAAGC
RNAcentral lists this ribosomal RNA (750 nucleotides) under Chaetoceros socialis. RNAcentral describes it as "eukaryotic LSU rRNA". It matches the Rfam family "Eukaryotic large subunit ribosomal RNA", at positions 85 to 852 of the family's 3401-position model. The record is from RNAcentral. Lineage: Eukaryota; Bacillariophyta; Thalassiosirophyceae; Chaetocerotales; Chaetocerotaceae.